AAGGAUUAGAGAUAAAUUUCUCUAGCCACGUGAGGAAUGAAAUAGGGCACUUUUUUUUUAAAUAUCAGGGAGGUUCCAUAUGGUCAAGCACAGCCAGAGUGGUGGACAUCCUGACAGGGCAGUUCAGAGAGCAGCAGCUCCGGAAGAAAUGGGCCAAAGUCCAUAGAGAGAGGGAGCAGAAAAGAGGACAGAGUCACACUCCUGAACAACCAGAACAGUUUUCCAGUGUCCUCAUCUGCAGAAAUACCAGAUGAUCCAAAACAGAUUCUUUUUUUUUUUUUUUUUUUUCUGAGACAGAGUCUCACUUUGUUGCCAAGGCUGGAGAUCAAUGGCAUGCAAUUUUGGUUUACUGCCACCUCUGACUCCUGGGUUCAAGCGAUUUUCCUGCCUCAGCCUCCUGAGUAGCUGGGAUUACAGGAUGAAGGCGCGGAGACGGGAAACUCCUGCCUUUUAAACCACGCCCCUCACAGACCCUGGAAGAGCAGUCCCUCAGUUUUACCACGUGGACCAAUCUGGUCUCCAACUCCCGACCUCAAGUGAUCCACCAGCCUCGGCCUCCCAAAAUGCUGGGAUUACAGAAACGAGCCACUGCGCCUAGCUGAGUCGGGGUUUUGCAAUGUUGUCCAGGCUGAUCUUGAACUCCUGGGCUCAAGUGAUCCUUCUACGUCAGCCUCUGAAAAUGCUGGGAUUACAGACAUGGGCCACUGAGCCCAACCCCUGGAUGGGAGAUCUGGGACAAGACAAAGACUUUGCUAAGGCAAUGCUGUUCAUAGUGGUGGAUCUAAGCUGCACUACAAGUCUUCCAGAUUCUACCUGAUUGACCUAGAAAGUAUUUACCUUUGUUAUUUUAUUUCCAUUUAUUUAUUACAUUCUUGAGUAUCUCUUAUUGAAAGAAAAUUAAAUUUUCUUCAUAAUUGCUGCUUACAUUCUUUAUAAUCAAAAUGUUUGUUAAGUAUGUCUAUCCUCUUACUUUAGAAGUUUCUUGAGUAUUGGGAUCAUGCCAUAACCGUCUUAGUAUUUUUCACAGCCUCGAACACAAACCAAGUCCCUAUGCAACAAUGUUCUGGGCCGGGCGUGGCUCAUGCCUGUAAUCCCAGCACUUUGGGAGGCCGAGGCAGGUGAAUCACGAGGUCAAGAGAUCGAGACCAUCCUGGUCAACAUGGUGAAACCCCGUCUCUACUAAAAAUACAAAAAAUUAGCUGGGCACGAUGGUGCGUGCCUGUAAUCCCAGCUACUCAGGAGGCUGAGGCAGGAGAAUUGCCUGAACUCAGGAGGCAGAGGUUGCGGUGAGCCAAGAUCACGCCAUUGCACUCCAGUCUGGGUAACAAGAGCGAAACUCCACCUCAAAAAAAAAAAACAAUGUUCUGAUUUAUGUGUUGAAGGAAUAAAUGUACAUAUGCCUCUGGUGCUGAGAGGCAGCAUAAUAGUGGUUAAGAACCUUAGCUUAAGAGGUAAACAGACCAGGAUGGGCGUGGUGGCUCAUGCCUGUAAUCCAAGCACUUUGGGAGGCCAAGGCAGGCAGAUCACUUGAGUUCAGGAGUUUGAGACCAGCCUGGCCAACAUGGUGAAACUCCGUAUCUACUAAAAAUACAAAAAUUAGUUGUGUAUGAUGGUCUGUGCCUAUAUUCCCAGCUACUUGGGAGGCUGAGGCAGGAGAAUUGCUUGAAUUUGGGAGGUGGAGGCUACAACGAGCCAAGAUCACAGCACUGCAAUCCAGCCUGGAAGGCAAAGCAAGACUCCAUCUCCAAAAAAAAAAAAAAAGAGAGAGAGAGAUAAAAAGACCUGCUUCUGUUAUUUACCAUCUGUGGGAUUUGAGGCAAAUUGCUUCAUCGUUCUAAUUUUUGUAUUUGUUUCUUAAUUUGUGAAAUUAAUUAAGAUAGAACUUAUAAGCCUCUCUGAAACUUGAACUGGAUUAAUAUAUGUGACAUGCUUAGCACCAUUUGUGGCACUGGUAGGUUUUUUACUAAUUGUCACUAUUAUUCUCUAACCCUACUCAGGUUUGGGAACCUAAGAAUCAAAAGAUCUUGCAUUGCCACAGUGGGUUACUAGCAAGUUCAAAUAUGUAAUAUUUCCAUUUGGUCGAAAAUCCAUUCCUUUCAAAAACAACCAUGUAAACUCAGUAAAAUGAAUAAAAAGGCAAAUUGUGUUCAUUGAAGACUGCCUUGUGCCUUGAGUUUUCUGCAGUGUGUGGGAGACAAUUUAGUGGUUGGUUUUCUUGUCGUUAAUGCAGGAGAGAUGGUUCUUGUGACUUUCUGUCCUUUUCACUGUGGUAGCUCAGCUGCGAGGGAAUGGUAGCCUGUGGUGGUGAUAUUGCAUUGAUGAUGCCCACCAGCUUCUCUCCCUAUAGUUCUGAGUGUCUGUUUUGUAUUUAGAUCAGUGGGUAGAAGGUCUCACUGCUCUACAGAAUGACAUACACAUUGCCAGUAAUUACUUUCCUAAAAUGGAAAGGGAAUUAAAAUAAAAGCCUGAAUGUAGAAGGGGGUGGCAGGUUUUUGGAAAAGUGUAUUGGCAAUUUGAAGCAUGAAUAAUUAAUUUUGUCUUAAGAUUAAGUUCAGG
This 2556-nucleotide long non-coding RNA is filed under the name Callithrix jacchus (white-tufted-ear marmoset). Its description in RNAcentral is "lncRNA (ENSCJAG00000081445.1)". Lineage: Eukaryota; Metazoa; Chordata; Mammalia; Primates; Cebidae. The record is from RNAcentral.